UACGGAGGGAGCUAGCGUUGUUCGGAAUUACUGGGCGUAAAGCGCACGUAGGCGGCUUUUUAAGUCAGGGGUGAAAUCCCAGAGCUCAACUCUGGAACUGCCUUUGAUACUGGGUAUCUUGAGUAUGGAAGAGGUAAGUGGAAUUGCGAGUGUAGAGGUGAAAUUCGUAGAUAUUCGCAAGAACACCAGUGGCGAAGGCGGCUUACUGGUCCAUAACUGACGCUGAGGUGCGAAAGCGUGGGGAGCAAACAGG
Molecule: ribosomal RNA, 253 nt
Filed under: uncultured bacterium
Lineage: Bacteria
Description: partial 16S ribosomal RNA
Rfam family: Bacterial small subunit ribosomal RNA
Source: RNAcentral